AUGCACAGAGGGAAUUUUGAAACCAUCCAUGAUCGAUUGCGCAAGAAACUCAUUGAUUGGAGAGAGCAAUAUGUGUCCUCUGGCAAUAAGGAGAUUUUGAUCAAGGCUGUGGCACAGGCCCUGCCUACUUAUGUCAUGAGUGUCUUUAAGCUCCCUGCUUCGGUUUGUGAUGAGCUGACUCGUAUGAUCCGUCAAUAUUGGUGGGGUGUUGAAAACGGGAAGAAGAAGAUGGCAUGGAUGAGUUGGGACAUAUUGAGGCUACCUAAACCUAUGGGUGGCAUGGGGUUUAAGGAUAUGAGGGCCUUUAAUCAAUAA
Molecule: ribosomal RNA, 315 nt
Filed under: Triticum aestivum (bread wheat)
Lineage: Eukaryota; Viridiplantae; Streptophyta; Magnoliopsida; Poales; Poaceae
Description: partial small subunit ribosomal RNA
Source: RNAcentral